AGUCCGGUAGCUAAGAGGCUUAAGGCACUCGCCUUUUAAGCGAGACAUCGUCGGUUCGAAUCCGACCCGGACUACCA
This 77-nucleotide transfer RNA is filed under the name Acidobacteriota bacterium. RNAcentral's name for it is "Acidobacteria bacterium (soil metagenome) tRNA-Lys". It matches the Rfam family "tRNA". Rfam says of the family: Transfer RNA (tRNA) molecules are approximately 80 nucleotides in length. Lineage: Bacteria; Pseudomonadati; Acidobacteriota. The record is from RNAcentral.